CGGGGUAUGGCGCAGCUUGGUAGCGCACCUGCUUUGGGAGCAGGGGGUCGUGGGUUCAAAUCCCCCUACCCCGA
Molecule: transfer RNA, 74 nt
Filed under: Candidatus Kentrum sp. FW
Lineage: Bacteria; Pseudomonadati; Pseudomonadota; Gammaproteobacteria
Description: Candidatus Kentron sp. FW tRNA_Pro_TGG
Rfam family: tRNA
About the family: Transfer RNA (tRNA) molecules are approximately 80 nucleotides in length. Their secondary structure includes four short double-helical elements and three loops (D, anti-codon, and T loops).
Source: RNAcentral